GCCCGAAUCCUGACACAGGGAGGUAGUGACAAGAAAUAACAAUACAGGGCUACUUCUAGUCUUGUAAUUGGAAUGAGUACAACUUACAUCUCUUCACGAGGAUCAACUGGAGGGCAAGUCUGGUGCCAGCAGCCGCGGUAAUUCCAGCUCCAGAAGCGUAUAUUAAAGUUGUUGCAGUUAAAACGCUCGUAGUCGGGUUUCGGGUCGGGCCGAGCGGUCUGCCGAUGGGUAUGCACUGUUUGGCGCGGCCUUCUUUCCGGAGACCGCGGCUACUCUUAACUGAGCGGGCGUGGGAGACGGAUCGUUUACUUUGAAAAAAUCAGAGUGUUUCAAGCAGGCAGCUCGCUCUUGCAUGGUACAGCAUGGGAUGAUUGAAUAGGACUCCGGUGCUAUUUUGUUGGUUUCGAACACCAGGAGUAAUGAUUAACAGGGACAGUCAGGGGCACUCGUAUUCCGUCGAGAGAGGUGAAAUUCUCAGACCAAUGGAAGACGAACCACUGCGAAAGCAUUUGCCAGGGAUGUUUUCACUGAUCAAGAACGAAAGUUAGGGGAUCGAAGACGAUCAGAUACCGUCGUAGUCUUAACCAUAAACCAUGCCGACUAGGGAUUGGAGGGUGUUCGUUUCGACCUCUUCAGCACCUUACGGGAAACUAAAGUCUUUGGGUUCCGGGGGGAGUAUGGUCGCAAGGCUGAAACUUAAAGGAAUUGACGGAAGGGCACCACCAGGAGUGGAGCCUGCGGCUUAAUUUGACUCAACACGGGGAAACUUA
Molecule: ribosomal RNA, 770 nt
Filed under: uncultured marine Phaeocystaceae
Lineage: Eukaryota; Haptophyta; Phaeocystales; Phaeocystaceae
Description: SSU rRNA
Rfam family: Eukaryotic small subunit ribosomal RNA
Source: RNAcentral